Long non-coding RNA from Alligator mississippiensis (American alligator), 1059 nucleotides. RefSeq lists it as uncharacterized. The transcript has 2 exons. NCBI's taxonomy places the organism in Eukaryota, Metazoa, Chordata, Crocodylia, Alligatoridae. The record is from RefSeq and is a predicted model, not a curated record.
UAGCUUAGUGGUUACAGUACUCCCUUGGGAGGAGUAACCCUUGGCUUAUAUAGCUCCUAUUGCCAGAGACAGGAUUCUUAUCUGAGAUAUUCAGGACUAGAUAUUUGGGCAUUUGACCUUCCAGUGGUGAUUGGAUUGAGGCAAUGAAAAGUGGGUGUUAACAUGAAUUUUAAUUGUUUUUCCUAGAUCUUUCCAAAUUGGCUGCAGACUUCAUGACUCAGCUAAGUGUGUCAGGUGCACCUCCGGUGGCCAAACCAAUCUAUUUAAAGCAAGGCCUCAGCUGUUUGGAAGAUCUGCAAAAGCAUCUUUUUGCAGUGAAUUCUAGUGGGAUAACAUACAGUCCAGAAAAACUCAGCCAAGAACUGUUCUCAGAAUAUCAGGACGUGGAGGAUUUAAUAAAAGAGCAAAGCAAAGCUCUGGAGACUUCCCAGAGACUACUGAUAUUUUCCAGAAGCUGAGCUGUUGAUGUUGGAUUGUCAGAGAACCAGCAUGUUGUCCACAAUGCCCUCUUAAUAGCCACAGGCAAACACCCUACGCUGUACAGAGUCACUGAGAAGAGCCAUCCCGCAGCCAUGCCUGAUUAUGCAAGAAACUCUGCUCAAACAUUAAAGCAAACACUGGUAAAUAUUGGGGGAUACACGGAGAAGGUAUGUGUGAUUCCACAACUCCUCAAGCUUCAAACCAAUGGAUAAGAAGAAAAUGUCAGGUUUCAGGUUGCAGACUCGGGUUUGCUCACUCGAGGAAGAGCAAGAGCUUCAAGAAAGGCAUCCGUGAGGCGUGCCAAAAAUGUCAAGGCUUCCUCACAAAGAAACCUCAGGACUGGUUCAGUGAGAAUGAUUGGGAAAUGCAUGCCUUCCAAAUGGAGAGAGCACACAGUGACAUCAGCUCCAAAUAGAAGUGCCCACAUUCGUGACCUUCAGUACAGAUCAGUCACUUGAUGGACCCUGCCACAUGGACAGUUUUGCACACGUAGGGGAAGAAUUCAUCUCACCCAUGUGUGUGUUAGCUAAAGCCACCAUUGAGUCAGUGUGUAACGUAAUAAAAAGACAGGAGAAUUUA